RNAcentral lists this ribosomal RNA (386 nucleotides) under uncultured bacterium. RNAcentral describes it as "bacterial SSU rRNA". It matches the Rfam family "Bacterial small subunit ribosomal RNA", at positions 28 to 416 of the family's 1533-position model. The record is from RNAcentral.
GACGAACGCUGGCGGCGUGCCUAACACAUGCAAGUCGUGCGGUAACAGGCGUAGCAAUACGUGCUGACGAGCGGCGAACGGGUGCGUAAUACAUGGGAAUCUGCCCUUUAGUGGGGAAUAACCCGGCGAAAGCCGGGCUAAUGCCGCAUAAGAUCUUCGGAUGAAAGCGGGGGAUCGUAAGACCUCGCGCUGAUGGAUGAGCCCAUGUCGGAUUAGCUAGUUGGGAGGUAACGGCUCACCAAGGCGACGAUCCGUAGCUGGUCUGAGAGGACGGCCAGCCACACUGGGACUGAGACACGGCCCAGACUCCUACGGGAGGCAGCAGUGGGAAUAUUGGACAAUGGGCGAAAGCCUGAUCCAGCGACGCCGCGUGUGUGAAGAAGGCC